Molecule: ribosomal RNA, 1527 nt
Filed under: Triticum aestivum (bread wheat)
Lineage: Eukaryota; Viridiplantae; Streptophyta; Magnoliopsida; Poales; Poaceae
Description: partial small subunit ribosomal RNA
Source: RNAcentral
AUGGCUGCAAGAGCACUGGUGCCGGCUGUCCUCCCGCUUCUCCUUCUGGUUGUCGCUACCAGCGCCUACGGCGGCGCCCAUGGUCGGCGGCCGAUAAGCCGGAGGAGCUUCCCCAAGGGCUUCCUCUUUGGGACGGCCACCUCGUCCUAUCAGUAUGAGGGUGGUGCAAUGGAGGGGGGCAGGGGACCAAGCAUCUGGGACAACUUCACUCACCAGCACCCAGAUAAAAUCGCCGAUAGAAGCAAUGGGGAUGUGGCAGUGGACUCCUACCAUCUUUACAAGGAAGAUGUGCGCCUCAUGAAGGAUAUGGGAAUGGACGCAUACAGGUUUUCCAUCUCAUGGACAAGAAUUCUUCCAGAUGGAACUCUCAAAGGUGGAGUCAACCGAGAAGGCAUCAAGUAUUACAACAACUUGAUCGAUGAGCUGCUGUCCAAAGGGGUGCAGCCAUUUGUGACCCUUUUUCACUGGGACUCUCCACAGGGAUUGGAAGACAAAUAUGGAGGAUUUCUUAGCCCUAAUAUCAUAAAUGACUACAAAGAUUAUGCUGAAGUCUGCUUCAGAGAAUUCGGAGAUCGGGUGAAGCACUGGAUCACGUUCAACGAGCCCUGGUCCUUCUGCGUCACGGGUUAUGAAAGGGGUGUAUUUGCGCCGGGCCGGUGUUCGCCUUGGGAGAAGGCAAACUGCAGCGCCGGAGAUUCAGGAAGGGAGCCGUACACUGCAGCCCACCAUCAGAUACUCGCUCAUGCAGCAGCAGCUAGAUUGUAUAAACAGAAAUAUAAGGCCGAGCAGAAGGGGAAGAUCGGAAUAAGUUUGGUGUCAAACUGGUUCACUCCCUUGUCCCGUUCAAAAUCAAGCGUCGUCGCGACGAGACGCGCCAUCGAAUUCAUGCUUGGAUGGUUUUUGGACCCGCUCGCCAGAGGAGACUACCCCGAGAGUAUGAAAGAAUUAGUAGGAAACCGUCUGCCGCAGUUCACCAAAAAACAGUCUGAAUUGGUGAAGGAUUCAUUCGACUUCAUUGGAAUCAACUACUAUACUACAAACUACGCGGGUAGCCUUCCUCUAUCAAAUGGCCUGAGGAACAGCUACUCUACCGAUGCUCAAGCAAAUCUUACCGGUGUUCGAAAUGGUGUCCCCAUAGGUCNNNNNGCUGCUUCACCUUGGCUCUAUGUCUACCCUAAAGGGUUCCGUGAUCUUCUACUUUAUCUCAAGGAGAAGUACCGCAAUCCGAUCGUCUACAUCACUGAAAACGGUGUCGAUGAAGCCAACAACAAGAGCCUACCACUCGAGGAAGCCCUCAAGGACGAUGCCAGGAUAGAGUACCACCACAUGCACCUUGAUGCCCUGCUGAGUACGAUCAGGGACGGGGCGAACGUGAAGGGGUACUUCGCGUGGUCGCUGUUAGACAACUUCGAGUGGGCGAGCGGGUACACGGUGCGCUUCGGGUUACACUUUGUGGAUUAUAACCAUGGUCGGAAGCGGUACCCCAAGCGCUCCGCCGGCUGGUUCAAAAGGUUCCUCAAGAGAUGA